GUAUGGGGUCGAUUUAGCCAUGCUAGUUGCACGAGUUCACACUCGUGGCGAAAAGCUCAGUAACACGUGGCCAAACUACCCUACAGAGAACGAUAACCUCGGGAAACUGAGGCUAAUAGUUCAUACGGGAGUCAUGCUUGAAUGCCGACUCCCCGAAACGCUCCGGCGCUGUAGGAUGUGGCUGCGGCCGAUUAGGUAGACGGUGGGGUAACGGCCCACCGUGCCAAUAAUCGGUACGGGUUGUGAGAGCAAGAACCCGGAGACGGAAUCUGAGACAAGAUUCCGGGCCCUACGGGGCGCAGCAGGCGCGAAACCUUUACACUGCACGCAAGUGCGAUAAGGGGACCCCAAGUGCGAGGGCAUAUAGUCCUCGCUUUUCACGACUGUAAGGCGGUCGUGGAAUAAGAGCUGGGCAAGACCGGUGCCAGCCGCCGCGGUAAUACCGGCAGCUCAAGUGAUGACCGAUAUUAUUGGGCCUAAAGCGUCCGUAGCCGGCCACGAAGGUUCAUCGGGAAAUCCGCCAGCUCAACUGGCGGGCGUCCGGUGAAAACCACGUGGCUUGGGACCGGAAGGCUCGAGGGGUACGUCUGGGGUAGGAGUGAAAUCCUGUAAUCCUGGACGGACCACCGAUGGCGAAAGCACCUCGAGAAGACGGAUCCG
RNAcentral lists this ribosomal RNA (660 nucleotides) under Haloferax mediterranei. Its description in RNAcentral is "bacterial SSU rRNA". It matches the Rfam family "Archaeal small subunit ribosomal RNA", at positions 32 to 693 of the family's 1478-position model. Lineage: Archaea; Methanobacteriati; Methanobacteriota; Halobacteria; Halobacteriales; Haloferacaceae. The record is from RNAcentral. RNAcentral also lists the same sequence under 1 other name.